GUGAUCAGAUUGCGGCGAUCUACUACCCGCACAAAGGUAUUGUGUUCUGAACACAUUACAGUAAAGUGUUUACUGUUCGAAUUUGAAUUUCAAAUAUAAAUGUAUGCAUGCUAUAUAUUAUAUUUAGAUCAUAGUGUAGGAUAAAUUCAUAUUAAUUAAUUAGAUUAAUUAAUAUUUUUCCACUGUAAAAUUAUAAUUUUAAAAAAAAUUUAAAAUUACCAUUUUAC
RNAcentral lists this long non-coding RNA (227 nucleotides) under Elaeis guineensis (African oil palm). Its description in RNAcentral is "long non-coding RNA (EGUI_LNC047181)". The record is from RNAcentral. Lineage: Eukaryota; Viridiplantae; Streptophyta; Magnoliopsida; Arecales; Arecaceae.